GAUAUUAGUCAAUGGCCUAAAGGCUGAACCAGUAACUUGGAAGAAUGUAAAUGUAUUAAUUAUUAAUACAAUAACGAUUAAUUCGUAUAAAAUUCUAAAUAGAAUAAUGAUAAUGACAAUUUUCUAUUUAUAAGUCUUGACCAAAUUACGUGCCAGCAGUCGCGGUAAUACGUAAAAGACUAGUGUUAGUCAUCUUUAUUAGGUUUAAAGGGUACCUAGACGGUAAAUUAAACUCUUAUUGAGUAUCUUUUUACUAGAGUUUUAUAAGAGAAGGAAGAAUUUUUGGAGUAGUGAUAAAAUACUUUUAUACCAAAAAGACUGAUAACGGCGAAGGCAUCCUUCUAUGUAAAAACUGACGUUGAGGGACGAAGGCUUGGGUAGCAAUAAGGAUUAGAUACCCUAGUAGUCCAAGCAGAAAAUGAUGAAUGUCAUAAACUAGAUAAUUAAUUUAGUAUAUAAAUGAAAGUGUAAGCAUUCCACCUCAAGAGUAAUAUGGCAACAUAUAAACUGAAAUCAUUAGACCGUUUCUGAAACCAGUAGUGAAGUAUGUUAUUUAAUUCAUUAAUCCGC
This 570-nucleotide ribosomal RNA is filed under the name Elaphomyces sp. 4 EL-2015. Its description in RNAcentral is "SSU rRNA". It matches the Rfam family "Bacterial small subunit ribosomal RNA", at positions 359 to 962 of the family's 1533-position model. The record is from RNAcentral. Lineage: Eukaryota; Fungi; Ascomycota; Eurotiomycetes; Eurotiales; Elaphomycetaceae.